This 496-nucleotide ribosomal RNA is filed under the name uncultured bacterium. RNAcentral describes it as "partial 16S ribosomal RNA". It matches the Rfam family "Bacterial small subunit ribosomal RNA", at positions 28 to 507 of the family's 1533-position model. The record is from RNAcentral.
GAUGAACGCUGGCGGCGUGCCUAAUACAUGCAAGUCGAGCGAACGGACGAGAAGCUUGCUUCUCUGAUGUUAGCGGCGGACGGGUGAGUAACACGUGGAUAACCUACCUAUAAGACUGGGAUAACUUCGGGAAACCGUAGCUAAUACCGGAUAAUAUUUUUAACCGCAUGGUUCAAAAGUGAAAGACGGUCUUGCUGUCACUUAUAGAUUGAUCCGCGCUGCAUUAGCUAGUUGGUAAGGUAACGGCUUACCAAGGCAACGAUGCAUAGCCGACCUGAGAGGGUGAUAGGCCAAACUGGAACUGAGACACGGUCGAGACUCCUACGGGAGGCAGCAGUAGGGAAUCUUCCGCAAUGGCGAAAGCCUGACGGAGCAACGCCGCGUGAGUGAUGAAGGUCUUCGGAUCGUAAAACUCUGUUAUUAGGGAAGAACAUAUGUGUAAGUAACUGUGCACAUCUUGACGGUACCUAAUCAGAAAGCCACGGCUAACUACGUG